RNAcentral lists this ribosomal RNA (449 nucleotides) under uncultured bacterium. RNAcentral's name for it is "bacterial SSU rRNA". It matches the Rfam family "Bacterial small subunit ribosomal RNA", at positions 28 to 505 of the family's 1533-position model. The record is from RNAcentral.
GGUGAACGCUAGCGGUGCGCCUAACACAUGCAAGUCGAGCGGUAGAAUUUUUUAGCUUGCUAGAAAAUUUGAGAGCGGCGAACGGGUGAGUAACACGUUGGAAUCUGCCCCCAAGUCAGGGAUAGCCAUUGGAAACGAUGAUUAAUACCGGAUGUGCUCUUCGGAGUAAAGAUUUAUCGCUUGGGGAGGAUCCUGCGUACUAUCAGCUUGUUGGUAAGGUAACGGCUUACCAAGGCUAUGACGGUUAACUGGUCUGAGAGGAUGAUCAGUCACAAUGAAACUGAGACACGGUUCAUACUUCUACGGGAGGCAGCAGUGAGGAAUCUUCCACAAUGGACGAAAGUCUGAUGGAGCGACACCGCGUGAAGGAUGAAGGUCUAACGAUUGUAAACUUCUUUUCUGAGGGAGCAAAAUGAGAGUACCUCAGGAAUAAGGGACGGCUAAUUACG